GUAGAAGUAAAGGGUGAGUGCUAGGCUAGCCACUAAAGAGAGGGUGUUGUACACUCUUGUGUAAUAUUAUUGUGUUGUAAUAAAGUUCUAUUUCUUACAAGUGUUAGUCUGCCGGUUAGGCCAUAUAGUACUUAGUGCAUAAAUUGUGAUCCAUCGAAGGUUGGCUCUAUCACCCAGGAUCACAAGGAUCUAGACUUCAUCAUAAGUUGGCUCUGCCACCCCGAAGUUAGCAUCAUCUGUUGGUAGGCUCUGCCACUUGAAAGUGAGAAGGAGGCUCUGCCGUCAAAAGGAGGCUCUGCCGUCAAAAGGACCCGUUGCACUAAGGAACUAGAAAUUAAAAGGGCUGACCGACUCCAGAGUGAGUUGGUGUCCUAGGUGUAGGUCCUCAGAUUAGUGGGUAUUAGGGCCACCUCAAUUUCCAACAUUAUUGAUUUACAUUUACUUGGGAAAUGCUGUGCUAGAAUGACUAGUAAUGAUAUGAGGUAAAUAAUAUUGAUGUCAGUAAUUACUCAAUUCAAUCCAUUUUGCACAUGUACUCUACUUUUGUAAGGCAAAUGAAACCUUUAGCUACAAGGUCAGGGUACAUGCCUUUUUCCAUCAUUUGGGAACAUGUUU
This 615-nucleotide long non-coding RNA is filed under the name Setaria italica (foxtail millet). RNAcentral's name for it is "long non-coding RNA (SITA_LNC003600)". The record is from RNAcentral. Lineage: Eukaryota; Viridiplantae; Streptophyta; Magnoliopsida; Poales; Poaceae.